GAUUCACAUGGAACGAGUGGCGGACGGGUGAGUAACACGUGGGUAACCUGCCCUUAAGUGGGGGAUAACAUUUGGAAACAGAUGCUAAUACCGCAUAGAUCCAAGAACCGCAUGGUUCUUGGCUGAAAGAUGGCGUAAGCUAUCGCUUUUGGAUGGACCCGCGGCGUAUUAGCUAGUUGGUGAGGUAAUGGCUCACCAAGGCGAUGAUACGUAGCCGAACUGAGAGGUUGAUCGGCCACAUUGGGACUGAGACACGGCCCAAACUCCUACGGGAGGCAGCAGUAGGGAAUCUUCCACAAUGGACGCAAGUCUGAUGGAGCAACGCCGCGUGAGUGAAGAAGGCUUUCGGGUCGUAAAACUCUGUUGUUGGAGAAGAAUGGUCGGCAGAGUAACUGUUGUCGGCGUGACGGUAUCCAACCAGAAAGCCACGGCUAACUACGUGCCAGCAGCCGCGGUAAUACGUAGGUGGCAAGCGUUAUCCGGAUUUAUUGGGCGUAAAGCGAGCGCAGGCGGUUUUUUAAGUCUGAUGUGAAAGCCCUCGGCUUAACCGAGGAAGCGCAUCGGAAACUGGGAAACUUGAGUGCAGAAGAGGACAGUGGAACUCCAUGUGUAGCGGUGAAAUGCGUAGAUAUAUGGAAGAACACCAGUGGCGAAGGCGGCUGUCUGGUCUGUAACUGACGCUGAGGCUCGAAAGCAUGGGUAGCGAACAGGAUUAGAUACCCUGGUAGUCCAUGCCGUAAACGAUGAAUG
This 750-nucleotide ribosomal RNA is filed under the name Lactobacillus sp. HFH0053. RNAcentral describes it as "bacterial SSU rRNA". It matches the Rfam family "Bacterial small subunit ribosomal RNA", at positions 79 to 815 of the family's 1533-position model. Lineage: Bacteria; Bacillati; Bacillota; Bacilli; Lactobacillales; Lactobacillaceae. The record is from RNAcentral.